Rhipicephalus sanguineus (brown dog tick) is the source of this 1255-nucleotide long non-coding RNA. RefSeq lists it as uncharacterized. Lineage: Eukaryota; Metazoa; Arthropoda; Arachnida; Ixodida; Ixodidae. The transcript is spliced from 5 exons. The record is from RefSeq and is a predicted model, not a curated record.
GUCAAUGCCCAUUUAUUAAUCUUAGUUCUUAUGAGUAUGUAUAACUAAAAUAUCAAUCGCUGAAUUAUUGUGACAUAAGUAUAGCAGUUUUCUUUUUGAUAUGUUUUCAGCCAACAUAACCUGAUCAAGAAUGAGAACAACUCUGUGCAAAGAUGGCAGUAUUUUGCCUUAGGACAAAUUCUUGCUGCAAAUUAUCCAAACAUGCUUUGGAAAAAGCACGGACAGACAGACAUGGCCGUACUAAAUCGCCACAGAGUGUGUUCAUGACAAGGCUCGCUGAGGCCAGGCGACAUCGUUCAAGUAGACAAGCAGCACGAGAGCGAGAGAUUGCAAGGAGACUACAAGUUGAGAUAUGUACUGUAGCAGAAACACUGGACACCACAACUGCAAUUAAGGAACUCGCUACAUUACCAGACUUCUGGACUGAACAAAGAAAGAGUGAAGCUUCUGCUUGUUUCCACUAUAGAGUGGCGCAAAGAAAACCCACCAGCUUGCCUCCCAUCUUAUUUACUGAAUGAAGAAAUUCUGACAUUCGAAGCGGAGCUUCGUUUCAAGGAAGGCAUUGACAGUUUGAUGAAGAAACUUGAAAAAGUCCGACUCAUUGUCAGUCAGAUGUACAACACGUGCACAGAUUUCGUCGAAACUGACAAGUAUUUCAGAGGAAAGAAUGCAAAAUUUUCACUCAUAACAGUGGAUGAGACGCCAGAAGUUGGCCCAUCGCCUGGCCCAAGAAUCUUAUGGGGGUGUGACAACAAGGCGCUGUACUGCGGUGAAGUGGAAGGCAACUUGAAGCUAUCAGGUGACACUCCUCUUGAAAAAGCCCUGAUUUUGUGCUUUACCACUUACUACAUAAAGGAUCUCACAUACCCAAGUGGAUAUGCUCAGACACUAGGUCUUGUUCAGAGCGUCAUGAAAAACACAGAACUGUUUCCAAGGUGCUUUGCUGGCAGCAAGUUGCUCAAGGUCAUUGAGAAGGUUAAACGCAUUCGAUAAGCAUCAAAAUACAUUAGUCCGAAAAAUAGCGGACGGAAAGUUUGUGUUGUUUCUCUCAGUCCUGGUUAUCACGUUUAACGCUGUUGUACAAUUUAGAAUAAACAUUUAUUUGUACACAUGAGGAGCAGCUGUUUCUCGCAUGCUUAUUCUUGCUGGGCACAGAAGGACCUGUUAACUAUGCAGCUGGUGUGAUCUAUCAAGUAAUUGUCAACCAACAUGAUUCCGAUGGGCAAUAGAGACUCCCGGUGCAACCAGGGUUCAG